UUGUAACGUAUGGUUGAAAGAGAGACUAUAUUAACAUUUAAGAUUUUCAUAAUAAUUGAUGAACUGGUCGGCUACCGGCUCCAAUACUCUUACGAGAAAUGUAAGUACGUGAGUGUUUGAAUGAAACACACUGGAACUAUAACCAGUUGCUUUACUUGUCCUGGCCACUCGAUACGGGAAAGACUGUUCUCUUUGGUAAGCUAGUUAGCGUUAGCGCCGGUAGUUUGCUAGUUAGCAUGCUAGCUUGGAGCAUGCUAGCUUGGAGCAUGCUAGCGUUCAACACGAUGACCUGCACCAAAAAUAAACAACCUAGAUUAUUUUUUGUGUUUGGUGUUGCUUAUGCGUUAGGUUGUUGGUAUAUCCAUAAAAUAUUAUUGUCUUUCCCAUUUCAUAUUGAAAACACGUUUUUAAAGCAAUUGGGGCUAAAUAUAGAUUGCAAGGGUGGAGGGCUGAAUUGGUUACUGCAUGCUUAAAGGCUGGCGUCUCAGUCUUUACGCACCGUUGUGUCGACGCACACAUUUCAAUUCAUGGUUCUAACGGGCUCCACCUGGUGUUCUGGCGCUGAAUUGCUCUGCAACACAAGGAAGACUUUUAGAACCAUGAAUUGAAACGAGUGCGUCGACGCAACGACGCAGAAGCAUGCGCCAGCCUUAACACACCUGCGGUUAUCAUUAGUAUUAGUCACUUUACUAUUACUGUCAUCAUAAACCCAAAUUACCACCUUUGCCUUUUCCCUGAAGUCUUUGUGCUUUCCCUCCUCACAGGUUUCUGUGGAUGGUGGUUUACAUCUGAUGGAUGUUGUCUCUGCACUGGUCCUGCCUUACACCUGGCUUAAUGAUUCACAAUAUUUGAAUAAUUUUUGUUGUAGGAAUUUAAUGUACUGUACAUCUUUAAGUUGUUUAUACUCUACACACCUACUUCUCUGCUGUUUUCCCCUCAGGUUUCUCCCAGUUUAAUUUCAUGUGACGGGUAGUGUCAAGGGGUCGGGCUGACGUCAUCAAUGAGUAAGAGUCGCUGGAUGCCUUGUCGGGUGCCCGCUGGUUCAGUACCAUGGAUCUGGCCAGUGGGUACAAUCAAGUUGCCGUGGCAGAGGCCGACAAGAACAAGACAGCUUUUUGUACGCCUAUCGGGUUGUUCGAAUUUAACCGUAUGCCCUUUGGUCAGUGCAAUGCACCAGGCAUUCAUCCUGGAAGUCGAUGCCAGCUACAGUGGUCUUGGAGCAGUGCUCUCGCAGGAGCAGAGUGGUAAGGUGAGACCAGUGGCCUACGCCAGCAGAGGAUUGAAGCCAACGGAACGAAAUAUGACAAAUUACAGUUCCAUGAAGUUGGAGUUCUUGGCGCUCUAGUGGGCCAUGACCGAGAAAUUCAGGGAAUAUCUCCUGGGUCAGAAGUGUGUGGUGUAUACGGACAAUAACCCUUUAAGUUAUCUAUCCACGGCUAAAUUGGGUGCCCUCGAGCAGCGGUGGGCCGCUCAACUUUCUGAUUUUGAUUUCACCAUUAAGUACAGACCCGGCCGAGCCAAUGGUAAUACAGAUGGAUUAUCCCGGCAGUAUCAAACUGAUGCGCCUGCUGAAGGAUAUGGUGCCUUGAUGCCGGGCAGUGCCAUCCCCCAGAUGAUAGCACAACUCGGCAUACAACCGACCAUGGAGGUAACUAAGUCAACCGUGUCAGUUUUCCCUACCCAUUCUGCUGUAGAUCUAGCUGCGUUGCAGGAAGCUGAUCCUAUCAUCAGUCACUUUUUGUUUUUUUGGAACCGGAAAUGAGGCCCAGACCAGCGGGAGAGGCACGCCAUCCCCAAAUCAGUUUUGGAGAUGCUUCGCCAAUGGGAGAGGGUGACAAAGGAGGAGGGAGUUCUGUAUCGCCGUGUGUCUAGACCAGAUGGCGGGGAGGAAGGACGACAGCUAGUAUUGCCUGCUAAACUAAAAAAGAGGAAGUAUUGCACCAGUUACAUCAGGGCCAAGGACACCAAGGUGUAGAACGAACAACCGACCUAGUGAGACAAAGAUGCUACUGGCCAGGUAUGAUUAAUGAAAUUAAAGAGUAUUGCCAGAACUUUGAACGCUGUACAUUGGCAAAAGCGGUCCAACCAAAAGUCCGUGCCUCCAUGGGCCAUUUAUUGGCCUCCCGGCCAAAUCAGAUAUUGGCCCAUUGACUUUACCUUGCUUGAACCGGCUAGAGAUGGUAGAGAACAUGUUCUGAUAAUGACUGAUGUAUUUUCCAAGUAUACACAGGCCAUUCCCACUCGAGACCAGCGAGCACCUACAGUGGAGUUCCGUCUAGGAUUCAUUCCGACCAAGGGAAAGGUUUUGAAGCGGUACUCAUCCAGCAGCUAUUGGAGAAGAAGAGGGACUGGACGUUGUACCUCCCACAACUUAUCUCUGCCUACAACACCACCAUACACCAAUCAUCUGGUACGGUGGACCACUGGCUUGGUGAACACCAGAGGCGACUACGAGCAGCCUAUGCCGGGGCAAGACAUCGUAUGCAGGGGGCUGCACAACGGAGAGAGGAGAGACACGACCGAAAUGUUGACGAAGGGCUGACCGUGGACCAGUUGGUGUAUCUGAGGGACCACAGCGUAAGGGGAAGAAACAAGAUCCAGGAUCACUGGAACCCAACACCCUACAGAAUUUUGACACUCUAACGUUCAUCGCUUGCCACAGACAACCGUGAGUGGGCAGGGCGCUACCGUUUUAGGUCCCCUUAGUCUUAAGUCAGGGAGGUGAGUCUUAUCCUCGUCCCGAGGGUAAAAGUAGUGGGGGUAGAUGUGUUGGGUAGUGUCAAGGGGUCGGGCUGACGUCAUCAAUGAGCGCCCUAUUUUACAGGCCGUCUCCCGUUCUCUAGCAGUCCGCUGAGAGGAGAGUAGCAGGUAGGUCGCUAACUGGUAGGUUGUUUGUUAUGGGGGAAAUUGUCAGCUUACAGAUCUCAACCUGGAGUGGAGUCCCUUCGGACGUCAUUGGGGAGGGUUUAGCUCCUCAGCCUUUCCAGGUGGUGCACAAACUGCUGUUUUGCCGUAUCCGGGUACGAGUAGCGAUUAGCAAUUGUAACCAGCUGAUAUCAUAACAUUGUAUGUGGUCGUCGUGGCGCAGGGCUUAGAGAAGGUGUGCUGGGAAGCACAAGGUUAGUGGUUCGAGUCCAGGCUGCCCCAUGUUCCAUGUUGAAGUGUCCCUGAGCAAGACACCUAACCCCUAAUUGCUCCCCAGGCAAAAAUGUGAAAAACCAUGGGUUUAAAGUGUAAUGUAAGUCGCUUUGGAUAAAAGCGUCUGCUAAAUGACCUGUAAUGUAAUGUAUUCGUCCUGCGCUCCGGUUUUUGUUUCGGGUACUUGCCUACUGUUAUUUUUAUUUAUUUCGAGCGGGGGGUGCCCGUUGUGUGGAGGAAUAGCGUGGGUAUUUUCUUAGAUCAGAUUUUAGCAUGUGGUGUGAUAUUGCAUGAACUGUUUUUAACGCACUUUGUUUUGCCGUUGCGUGAGUGAGUUGCAGUGUGUGUGUGUGUGUGUUGCAUGUUUUUAGGUUGCACGGGUGAUUAGAUGUACUGGGAGAUUCGCUGCCUCCACACAGACGCUCGCCCUACCCUCAUCGUGGUUAGGGACCCGGGCAAGUACACAGAUUGUUCCGUGAUAAGCUGUCAGCCAAAUUAGAAUAGUUUUACAGUGUUUGUUUUUACUGAUGUACUAAUAAAUUAUUGUUUUGUACCACAAUAUGAUCUCUGUUCCUUGAGUAAACCGAACUGGUAUUGUUCAGUCCGGCUCGAGGACUUCCCCCUCUUAUGAUAAAGAAAAGACCCUGGUGUUAUUCCAGUAAAACAC
Gasterosteus aculeatus aculeatus (three-spined stickleback) is the source of this 3805-nucleotide long non-coding RNA. NCBI's taxonomy places the organism in Eukaryota, Metazoa, Chordata, Actinopteri, Perciformes, Gasterosteidae. The record is from Ensembl.